This 73-nucleotide transfer RNA is filed under the name Penicillium camemberti FM 013. RNAcentral's name for it is "tRNA-Cys (GCA) (tRNA-Cys-GCA-4-1)". It matches the Rfam family "tRNA". Rfam says of the family: Transfer RNA (tRNA) molecules are approximately 80 nucleotides in length. Lineage: Eukaryota; Fungi; Ascomycota; Eurotiomycetes; Eurotiales; Aspergillaceae. The record is from RNAcentral.
GCACCAGUAGCUCAUUUGGUAGAGCGUGCUAUUGCAAAUCGCAAGGUAGCGCGUUCGAUCCGCGCCUGGGGCU